RNAcentral lists this long non-coding RNA (1804 nucleotides) under Oryctolagus cuniculus (rabbit). RNAcentral's name for it is "lncRNA (ENSOCUG00000034000.1)". Lineage: Eukaryota; Metazoa; Chordata; Mammalia; Lagomorpha; Leporidae. The record is from RNAcentral.
AUGGUCCAGGCUUGCAAAUCAGACAGACCCGGUUCAAUGGCUGGUGGGGUGACCAUGGGUAAGUCCCUCACGUGGGGGACACACGUGUUCCACAGACAGGCCCCACACUGGGCUCCAGGGCAUUGGGGGUGCCCCAGUACCACUCCUAUCCUCAGAGAAAUCUGUCUCCUUCAGUUCAUCCAAUCAGAAGUCAGCAAGCUCCGGGAGCAGAGCCCGGGAGGAAGGGUUCAGGACACAGGAGCAUUAGCACCCUGCGAAGGCUCUGAGGUUCCCAUCUGUGCCUGCAAGGUCUCAAAGCCAGGGGAACAGAGUGAGCGUGGUGGAAGCUCCCUGGGACCAUCACUGAGGCAAGCUUGGACAAGGGACUGUGGAUGCGACCCCGGGCACAGCUGGGGCAGGGCAAGGGUUACACAGCGCACUUCCAGCGCAUGUUCCCUGCUUCUCCGUCUGCUGAGGACAGGUCCCUGUCCAGGCCACCUGUGGCCUGGGGCACUGACAGCCUGGCGCUGUCAUCCCCAGCCCUCCCGGCUCAGCCUCCACACCUCCUGGGGGCAGAGACCGGGAGUGGGUGCAAGGUGCAUAGCGGGUGGGAAGGGAUGGGCAGAGCCUGCGGGGGGCUGGGGCCGACCUGCUCCGGAGGAUCUGUGGGGUGGCAGGGCCCCUUCCCUCAUCCCCAGUACCUGCUUUUGGAUUGGAAGAGGGACACAUGGGACUCAGCACUCAGAACCGUGGAGUCCCAGCCCAGGGCCCAGCAGGACAACUCCAGCCCAGAAUAUGGAAUGCAGAGUCCAGCACCUUGGGUGAGAGCUGAAAAGCUCAGAACCACAGAAGCUCCAGGUAGAGCCCAGCGUUCCACACCCCCACAGGCAGCACCCUUGGUCCCAGAGACAGGGAGUCGGGAACAGCGUGUAAGAGACCCCGAACCCACAACCAGCGGCCCUAGAGCAGACUCCGGGGCCCUCAGCCUCCUACACCCUCGCAGCGCCUUCCAGGCCCCCUUUGUGCGCUCUCCUCCAGGAAGCCCUCCUGAGGCCCCAGCUAGGCAAGGCCCUCCUUCCCCUGCACCCUCCACUCUGCCUUCCAGGACCCUGAGCUGCUGUCCAUGCCUGACCCCCUGCAGCCACGCCCCACCCCUGCCCUGGCCUGGGUGACCCAGCCCUUGCUCGUGGUACACACUCAAGGCAUGUGUGUGGACUGAAUUCUUGAAUCGUGUCUUGUAGCACACGCUUCCUGGGGUCACACGAUGUAUCUGGUAAAUUCCAGACAAGCUCUCAAGGCUCCUGGUGCCGAGCCCAGGGCUCUGUGCCUGGAAGACUGAGAGGCUGGCACCGAACGCCACCAUGUCUGUGGCUUUAUAGCAUCUCCACUGUUGUCAGCUUCACCUCGAAACCCUCAAAAGUUUGGGUGAGGCUCCAUCUGGGAGUAGGGUGAUGACAGUAGGCUGCCCGGAGGAGGCGGCACUUCAGCGUGCAGGAAGCUGUGUGCGUCAGAGGAGAGCCAGUGCAAAGGCCCAGAAGCAGGAAAUGCACCUGUGCUGAGAGACUCCAGGUGGAGGGAGAUCACGGAGACAAAGGGGACGGCGGGAGGUCCCACGCUGUCCCAGGGGCCAGGCCUUCCCUGGACGGACUCCCGUAUUAGCUAAUCUAACUCUCCAGCUCCCUGAGGAGGUGGGCACUUCCACGUCUGUGUUAGAAAGGAGGAAGCUGAGGCCUGCAGGUGACCCGCUGAGCUCACGCAGGAGCUGAGGGCGGGGCCCAAGCCCCGGCGGUCACCAUGCAGCGCCCCGCACCUGCGCCCCGACCCC